This is a long non-coding RNA of Oreochromis niloticus (Nile tilapia), 96 nucleotides long. RefSeq lists it as uncharacterized. The transcript has 3 exons. The record is from RefSeq and is a predicted model, not a curated record. Lineage: Eukaryota; Metazoa; Chordata; Actinopteri; Cichliformes; Cichlidae.
UGGACUCCACACUGGGAUGAGCAGAGGCGUGCUGUUGCUGUGUGACACUGAUUUUGCUGCUCCACUUUGUAUUUUAGUGCUGCAUGGACUCCACAC